ACGGCUCAGUAACACGUGGCUAACCUACCCUUUAGGACGGGGACAACCCCGGGGAACUGGGGCUAACAUCUGAUAGGUGAGGAGGCCUGGAAUGGUUCCUCCCUGAAAAGGCGUUGAAACCAUGCUUUUCAGCGUCGCCUAAGGAUGGGGCCGCGCCCGAUCAGGUUGUUGGUGGGGUAACGGCUCACCAAGCCAUUAACCGGUACGGGCCGUGAGAGCGGGAGCCCGGAGAUGGGCACUGAGACAAGGGCCCAGGCCCUACGGGGCGCAGCAGUCGCGAAAACUCCGCAAUGCGCGAAAGCGUGACGGGGCUACCCCGAGUGCCGUCCGCUGAGGAUGGCUUUUCCCCGGUGUAAUGAGCCGGGGGAAUAAGGAGAGGGCAAGACUGGUGUCAGCCGCCGCGGUAAUACCAGCUCUCCGAGUGGUAGGGACAAUUAUUGGGCUUAAAGCGUCCGUAGCCGGCUUGGCAAGUCUCCUGUUAAAUUCAGCGACUUAAUCGUUGAGCCGCGGGAGAUACUACUAGGCUAGGAGGCGGGAGAGGCCGACGGUAUUCCCGGGGUAGGGGUGAAAUCCUAUAAUCCCGGGAGGACCACCAGUGGCGAAGGCUGUCGGCUAGAACGCGCUCGACGGUGAGGGACGAAAGCUGGGGGAGCGAACCGGAUUAGAUACCCGGGUAGUCCCAGCCGUAAACGAUGCGGGCUAGGUGUUGAGGUGGCUACGAGCCACUUCAGUGCCGCAGGGAAGCCAUUAAGCCCGCCGCCUGGGGAGUACGGCCGCAAGGCUGAAACUUAAAGGAAUUGGCGGGGGA
This 808-nucleotide ribosomal RNA is filed under the name uncultured archaeon. RNAcentral describes it as "bacterial SSU rRNA". It matches the Rfam family "Archaeal small subunit ribosomal RNA", at positions 85 to 875 of the family's 1478-position model. The record is from RNAcentral.